UGCCAGCCGCCGCGGUAAUACGGAGGGGGUUAGCGUUGUUCGGAAUUACUGGGCGUAAAGCGUACGUAGGCGGACUAGUCAGUCAGAGGUGAAAUCCCAGGGCUCAACCCUGGAACUGCCUCUGAUACUGCUAGUCUUGAGUUCGAGAGAGGUGAGUGGAAUUCCAAGUGUAGAGGUGAAAUUCGUAGAUAUUUGGAGGAACACCAGUGGCGAAGGCGGCUAACUGGCUCGGUACUGACGCUGAGAUGCGAAAGCGUGGGGAGCAAACAGGAUUAGAUA
Molecule: ribosomal RNA, 279 nt
Filed under: uncultured bacterium
Lineage: Bacteria
Description: partial 16S ribosomal RNA
Rfam family: Bacterial small subunit ribosomal RNA
Source: RNAcentral